CGGACGGGUGAGUAACACGUGGGUAACCUACCUAUAAGACUGGAAUAACUCCGGGAAACCGGGGCUAAUGCCGGAUAACAUUUAGAACCGCAUGGUUCUAAAGUGAAAGAUGGUUUUGCUAUCACUUAUAGAUGGACCCGCGCCGUAUUAGCUAGUUGGUAAGGUAAUGGCUUACCAAGGCAACGAUACGUAGCCGACCUGAGAGGGUGAUCGGCCACACUGGAACUGAGACACGGUCCAGACUCCUACGGGAGGCAGCAGUAGGGAAUCUUCCGCAAUGGGCGAAAGCCUGACGGAGCAACGCCGCGUGAGUGAUGAAGGGUUUCGGCUCGUAAAACUCUGUUAUUAGGGAAGAACAAACGUGUAAGUAACUGUGCACGUCUUGACGGUACCUAAUCAGAAAGCCACGGCUAACUACGUGCCAGCAGCCGCGGUAAUACGUAGGUGGCAAGCGUUAUCCGGAAUUAUUGGGCGUAAAGCGCGCGUAGGCGGUUUCUUAAGUCUGAUGUGAAAGCCCACGGCUCAACCGUGGAGGGUCAUUGGAAACUGGGAGACUUGAGUGCAGAAGAGGAAAGUGGAAUUCCAUGUGUAGCGGUGAAAUGCGCAGAGAUAUGGAGGAACACCAGUGGCGAAGGCGACUUUCUGGUCUGUAACUGACGCUGAUGUGCGAAAGCGUGGGGAUCAAACAGGAU
This 692-nucleotide ribosomal RNA is filed under the name Staphylococcus sp. MZ_13. RNAcentral's name for it is "bacterial SSU rRNA". It matches the Rfam family "Bacterial small subunit ribosomal RNA", at positions 99 to 778 of the family's 1533-position model. Lineage: Bacteria; Bacillati; Bacillota; Bacilli; Caryophanales; Staphylococcaceae. The record is from RNAcentral.